Molecule: long non-coding RNA, 467 nt
Organism: Vigna angularis (adzuki bean)
Lineage: Eukaryota; Viridiplantae; Streptophyta; Magnoliopsida; Fabales; Fabaceae
Exons: 3
Source: RefSeq, a predicted model, not a curated record
CUUGCUACUGUUUUUGCAGACAUCUUAAGUUUAAAUAUAAGUAUAUUGUUGCCAACUCAAUAGUUUGUCUCUUUAUACAAAUGCAAUGUUUAUAAUGUUGGCAUCAUUGAUUACGUUGUACGUAGGAAAAAAUUCAAACAUAUGAAUCUACAACAUCGUCUCAAUCAAAAGAAAUAUCAAGUUUAGAUUCAUUGGCUCAUGUUUUAGGAAGCCAAGAGCAUUGUGGACGUGUUCGCGGUCUAGGUUUGGGUCCUUACCCGUCUAAAGUCUUUGGAGUCCAUGCUCGUUCUCAUAUUGGAUCAUCUUCAUCUACUCCUUCUAAUGUUGAAUUACAAUCUCAGGUAUCUUCAUUGACUUCUUCUAAUGUUAAAUUAGAAUCUCAGGUAUCUUCAUUGACAUCACAAGUCAAUGAAAUGAAGGCAAUCAUGACACUUUUGUUGCAAAAUCAUCAAGGUCCAUUGCCUUCA